UCAUUACCGAGUGCGGGCCCCUCGGGGCCCAACCUCCCACCCGUGUUGCCCGAACCUAUGUUGCCUCGGCGGGCCCCGCGCCCGCCGACGGCCCCCCUGAACGCUGUCUGAAGUUGCAGUCUGAGACCUAUAACGAAAUUAGUUAAAACUUUCAACAACGGAUCUCUUGGUUCCGGCAUCGAUGAAGAACGCAGCGAAAUGCGAUAACUAAUGUGAAUUGCAGAAUUCAGUGAAUCAUCGAGUCUUUGAACGCACAUUGCGCCCUCUGGUAUUCCGGAGGGCAUGCCUGUCCGAGCGUCAUUGCUGCCCUCAAGCCCGGCUUGUGUGUUGGGCCCCGUCCCCCCCGCCGGGGGGACGGGCCCGAAAGGCAGCGGCGGCACCGCGUCCGGUCCUCGAGCGUAUGGGGCUUCGUCACCCGCUCUAGUAGGCCCGGCCGGCGCCAGCCGACCCCCAACCUUUAAUUAUCUCAGGUUGACCUCGGAUCAGGUAGGGAUACCCGCUGAACUUAA
This 509-nucleotide ribosomal RNA is filed under the name Penicillium citrinum. RNAcentral's name for it is "eukaryotic LSU rRNA". The stretch from base 147 to 300 matches the Rfam family "5.8S ribosomal RNA". Lineage: Eukaryota; Fungi; Ascomycota; Eurotiomycetes; Eurotiales; Aspergillaceae. The record is from RNAcentral.